This 2191-nucleotide long non-coding RNA is filed under the name Taeniopygia guttata (zebra finch). RNAcentral's name for it is "lncRNA (ENSTGUG00000021913.1)". Lineage: Eukaryota; Metazoa; Chordata; Aves; Passeriformes; Estrildidae. The record is from RNAcentral.
UUUUUUUUUUUUUAUUUGGAAACCGCAUUUAACUAAGUAUGUAAGAACUGAGUUAAUAUGAGAGGCUUAAGAGAUCCACCUAAGAGGCAUUUUCAAACACGACAUGGUCUUCAUAGCAGAUAAGCUAUAGUAUGUCAAACGAAAUAAGGUCUGGAAUAGGAAUCCAAGUCAUUACUACUAAGUAGAUCCAGCAGAAUUAGGGAAUGGGCAGUUACUCUCUAGCUGAUUGCAGUUACUGCAUUGAUAGUAAUGCAUAGGGGUUGCACUAAUUCAAGCAUAAGCCAUAAUCUCAUGUUUUUCUUACUAUGCCUAUCAGUCAUCCUGCUGGUCUAUUAAUGCUGGCAGAUGUACUUUUGUAUUAUAUAAUGUAUUUACUUUAUCCUGAAACAUUCUCCCCAAUAAAAAAUAAACACAGAAAGCUUUAGAACUUGCUUCGAGCUGCACAGUGCACAAAUUUUACAGCUAUUCCUUUUGUUUUUCAACUUUUUUUUUUUUUUUUUUUUGGCCAUAUGAUAAACCUGUAUUUUCCAGUCUUGGCUUUCUAGCAGUGAAAUUAUAUACUUCUCUAUCUUUUCUUUUAGAAUGAUAAGUGCAGCAUUAGGAGCAAGUUUUAGUAUAAUUAUAUAUAUAAGUAUAAUUUGAUCAUAAAGGAUUUAUUGAGAAAGUCUAAACACCCCAAAUCUUCUUGGAGCUAUUCCAUUCCAGUAUUUUCCAAAAUUUUCAGUAGCCUGUGGAUAAAUAAAUUAAAAAAUAUCUGGCAUUCCAAUUUUAUUUCAUCCAUAUAAGGUACUCAUACAUUUCUCAGAAAUGUAUGGAUUGACCCUCUCUGUGUCUACAUAAAAUUUACCCCAGAGAGGUUUUGGACUCCCCAUCCCUGAUUGUGUUUGAGACCACGCUGGAUGGGGCUUUGAGCAACCUGAUCUAGUGUGUACCCACGCAUGGCAAGAGGGUUGGAACCAGAUGACCUUUAGGGUCCCUUGCAACCCAAACCAUUCUAUGAUUCCACUCCCAAUCAUGUAUAUUUUAAUAAAGACAACACAUCUACACAAUCUAUAUUAAAGCACUAGGAACUAUGUGCAUAGUUGAGAUUUUUUGAGAGUUGAUCUUUACAGCCAUAGACUCUCAAGUCCCAAAUCAAAGUUCAGCAGUCAAUGAGAUCUUCAACUUAAUUCAGAGUACUUGCCUUUAAACAGAUUACUUGACUUGCAUAUUAUGGUGGCUGACACAAUGAGAACAUGGAAUAGAAUGGAAUAUUUCAGUUGGAAGGGACCAACAAUGGCAUGUAGUCCAACUGCCUGAUCUACUCAGGGCUGACUGAAAGUUCAAGUGUGUUGUUAAGGGCAUAGUCCAAAUGCCCCUUAAACAUAGUCAGACUUGGGGGCUGACCUCCUACGAACCCUGUUCCAGCAUUUGCCCACCCUCUUGGUAAAGAAAUGUUUCCUAAUGUCUCCUUCUUUACCUCCUUGCUUUGACUUCUGCAAAUGCUUGUGUGGGAUGCCUUGCUUUCCUUUGUAAGUUAAAGAACAGACUAAGACAUCUAGGUAGAAAAGGAAAACAACAGAUAAAGACAACUUGGAUAAAUUAAAUGUUCUAAAUUAUGUCAGCCUGCUAGAACCUGUAACCAUUCUCUACUAGUACUCUAUUAAGAAAGCAAAUGUUUCAUUUGCUCUCUAAAUAAGGAACAUGUAAGUUAAAUAAGAGAGGAAUUGUCAAGCACACCAAUGGAAAAAAGGGAGAGUUCAAAAUUCAGGGAUUCAGGAAAGGUAGUUAUUUGCCUUUUAACUACUACUACUCCUCUACUACCAAUAACAACAACAACAACAGUAAUAGUAAGUAUUCCUAAGCAUCUAUACAUAGCCAAGAGGAAAUUAUCAAGAAAAUGGAGCCAGACUCCUCAGAUUGCUGUAUGUGACUGGAGAAAUCUGAAGAAUCAGCAUAACUGCAAAUUUUCAAGGUCAGAUUGACCAAAUAUCUAUCAAGACCUGAUUAGAUAGAGUGGAUUCUGCUCUGAAGCAAGAGGAUAAACUGGAAAGCCCUUCCAGAUCUCUUUUUAAAUGAUGUCUUAAGAAGCAUCUCCAUUGUCCUCAUUACUAAAUUGGCAUAAAAAAAUUAAAAAGUGUACCAGUGUCACCUCUCCAAGUUUUCUUAAAUUAUGCCAAGUAUUUUUUUCUUUUCUACUUGUUAAACCCCU